GAUCGUACCUUGAGAGCAACCGAAAGGUUGAUACAAUAUAGGUGCGGUCUUAUGUGUCUGGCCUUGUGGUAUGCCAUUAAUUUGGUGUUGCGGGGAAUUUGGACUGUUACUUUGAAAAAAUUAGAGUGUUUAAAGCAAGCUAACGCUUGAAUACAUUAGCAUGGAAUAAUGAAAUAGGACGUUCGAUCCUAUUUUGUUGGUUUCUAGGAUUGACGUA
Molecule: ribosomal RNA, 217 nt
Filed under: Campeiostachys nutans
Lineage: Eukaryota; Viridiplantae; Streptophyta; Magnoliopsida; Poales; Poaceae
Description: Elymus nutans partial small subunit ribosomal RNA
Rfam family: Eukaryotic small subunit ribosomal RNA
Source: RNAcentral